Molecule: ribosomal RNA, 387 nt
Filed under: uncultured bacterium
Lineage: Bacteria
Description: bacterial SSU rRNA
Rfam family: Bacterial small subunit ribosomal RNA
Source: RNAcentral
AUUGAACGCUGGCGGCAUGCUUUACACAUGCAAGUCGAACGGUAACAGGCCUUCGGGUGCUGACGAGUGGCGAACGGGUGAGUAAUGCAUCGGAACGUGCCCAAUCGUGGGGGAUAACGUAGCGAAAGUUACGCUAAUACCGCAUAAGCCCUGAGGGGGAAAGUGGGGGACCGCAAGGCCUCACGCGAAUGGAGCGGCCGAUGUCAGAUUAGCUAGUUGGUGGGGUNAAGGCCCCACCAAGGCGACGAUCUGUAGCGGGUCUGAGAGGAUGAUCCGCCACACUGGGACUGAGACACGGCCCAGACUCCUACGGGAGGCAGCAGUGGGGAAUUUUGGACAAUGGGCGCAAGCCUGAUCCAGCCAUGCCGCGUGCGGGACGAAGGCCUC